AGAACGAACGCUGGCGGCAUGCCUAAUACAUGCAAGUCGAACGAACACUUCGGUGUUAGUGGCGCACGGGUGCGUAACGCGUGGGAAUCUGCCCUUGGGUUCGGAAUAACAGUUGGAAACGACUGCUAAUACCGGAUGAUAUCGAAAGAUCAAAGAUUUAUCGCCCAGGGAUGAGCCCGCGUAGGAUUAGCUAGUUGGUGAGGUAAAGGCUCACCAAGGCGACGAUCCUUAGCUGGUCUGAGAGGAUGAUCAGCCACACUGGGACUGAGACACGGCCCAGACCUCCGUACGGGAGGCAGCAGUAGGGAAUAGUUGGACAAGUGGG
This 325-nucleotide ribosomal RNA is filed under the name uncultured soil bacterium. RNAcentral describes it as "bacterial SSU rRNA". It matches the Rfam family "Bacterial small subunit ribosomal RNA", at positions 26 to 376 of the family's 1533-position model. The record is from RNAcentral.